CUAGCCAGUUGUGGGGUUAUUUAUAUCCAAUGCUGUCCAGAGAAACCAUCUUUCACCUGGAUAGAGCUGGCAUCACCCUCCUACCCACCCAUGAAAUCUGAAAAAGGACGGAGUCCCUUCAUGGUCUGCUCGUGGCUGGGCAAUGGCCUAGAAGUAAAGGCUGUAUACAUGCCAUUACUCCUGAACCACCCAUCCAGCAGAGUUUUCCCUUUUUAACAGUGCCUGGACAUGCCUCCACCUCCCGCCUUCUUCUGAAUGGAUCCGUGAUCUUGCAGAGAGUAGCAGAGGCAACUGAUGAUUCUUUUUGCAUGACCAAGGAAAGGAUCAAUGCACAGAGGUGCCCCCACAAACAGUUCCAGGGAGCAAUCUGGGCCCAAGGAUCUUCAGGUGUUUUGUUAACAGUUGAAUCAGGAAUCUUUAACUUCUCCAGUACUAUUGGGACCUCUGACUACAAGCUGCAGAGUGUGGAGACAGCACACUAUCUUUAUCUGGCCAGUGUUGCAAGAUCUUGGUCCUGUGAAUGUUACUCAUCACUCACCAUAUUGUGAGAUUACAAAUAUAUUUAGUCAAAUUGCAUAAAAUU
This is a long non-coding RNA of Trachemys scripta elegans, 583 nucleotides long. RefSeq lists it as uncharacterized. Lineage: Eukaryota; Metazoa; Chordata; Testudines; Emydidae. The transcript is spliced from 3 exons. The record is from RefSeq and is a predicted model, not a curated record.